This 125-nucleotide small RNA is filed under the name Marmota monax (woodchuck). The record is from RNAcentral. Lineage: Eukaryota; Metazoa; Chordata; Mammalia; Rodentia; Sciuridae.
GCUGGGUGCAGUGGCGCACACCUGUAAUCCCAGCGGCUUAGGAGGUUUAGACAAGAGGAUCAAAAAUUCAAAGCCAGACUCAGCAAAAAGUGAGGCCCUAAGCAAACAGUGAUAUCCUGUCUUUA